Molecule: ribosomal RNA, 484 nt
Filed under: uncultured bacterium
Lineage: Bacteria
Description: partial 16S ribosomal RNA
Rfam family: Bacterial small subunit ribosomal RNA
Source: RNAcentral
AUUGAACGCUGGCGGCAUGCUUUACACAUGCAAGUCGAACGGCAGCGCGGGCUUCGGCCUGGCGGCGAGUGGCGAACGGGUGAGUAAUGCAUCGGAACGUGCCCAGCAGUGGGGGAUAGCCCGGCGAAAGCCGGAUUAAUACCGCAUACGACCUGAGGGUGCAAGCGGGGGACCGAAAGGCCUCGCGCUAUUGGAGCGGCCGAUGUCGGAUUAGCUAGUUGGUGGGGUAAAGGCUUACCAAGGCGACGAGCCGUAGCUGGUCUGAGAGGACGACCAGCCACACUGGGACUGAGACACGGCCCAGACUCCUACGGGGGGCAGCAUUGGGGAAUUUUGGACAAUGGGGGCAACCCUGAGCCAGCCAUGCCGCGUGCGGGAAGAAGGCCUUCGGGUUGUAAACCGCUUUUGUUCGGGAAGAAAUCCUCUGGGCUAAUACCCCGGGGGGAUGACGGUACCGGAAGAAUAAGCACCGGCUAACUACGUG